ACAGUGGACGCGAGCAUCUGUGGCCAAGUUUUUAAGGGCGCACGGUGGAUGCCUUGGCACCAGGAACCGAUGAAGGACGUGGGAGGCCGCGAUAGGCCCCGGGGAGCUGUCAACCGAGCUUUGAUCCGGGGGUGUCCGAAUGGGGAAACCCGGCAGUCGUCAUGGGCUGUCACCCAUACCUGAACACAUAGGGUAUGUGGAGGGAACGCGGGGAAGUGAAACAUCUCAGUACCCGCAGGAAGAGAAAACAACCGUGAUUCCGGGAGUAGUGGCGAGCGAAACCGGAUGAGGCCAAACCUACGACGUGUGAGACCCGGCAGGGGUUGCGUCGUGGGGGUUGUGGGAUCUCUCUUGAUCAAUCUGCCGGUUGGUCGACGAGUCAGAAACCGUAUGAAUAGGCGAAGGGCAUGCGAAAGGCCCGGCGUAGAGGGUAAGACCCCCGUAGCUGAAAUUCUUACGGCUCGUUUGAGAGACACCCAAGUAGCACGGGGCCCGAGAAAUCCCGUGUGAAUCUGGCGGGACCACCCGCUAAGCCUAAAUAUUCCCUGGUGACCGAUAGCGGAUAGUACCGUGAGGGAAUGGUGAAAAGUACCGCGGGAGCGGAGUGAAAUAGUACCUGAAACCGUGUGCCUACAAGCCGUGGGAGCGUCGCGCAUCGAGCUUGCUCGGUGCGUCGUGACUGCGUGCCUUUUGAAGAAUGAGCCUGCGAGUUUGCGGUGUGUUGCGAGGUUAACCCGUGUGGGGAAGCCGUAGCGAAAGCGAGUCCGAAUAGGGCGGUUCAGUAGCGCGCUCAAGACCCGAAGCGGAGUGAUCUAGCCAUGGGCAGGUUGAAGCGGAGGUAAGACUUCGUGGAGGACCGAACCCACCAGGGUUGAAAACCUGGGGGAUGACCUGUGGUUAGGGGUGAAAGGCCAAUCAAACUCCGUGAUAGCUGGUUCUCCCCGAAAUGCAUUUAGGUGCAGCGUCGUGUGUUUCUUGCCGGAGGUAGAGCACUGGAUAGGCGAUGGGCCCUACCGGGUUACUGACCUUAGCCAAACUCCGAAUGCCGGUAAGUGAGAGCGCGGCAGUGAGACUGUGGGGGAUAAGCUCCAUGGUCGAGAGGGAAACAGCCCAGAGCAUCGACUAAGGCCCCUAAGCGUACGCUAAGUGGGAAAGGAUGUGGAGUCGCAGAGACAACCAGGAGGUUGGCUUAGAAGCAGCCACCCUUGAAAGAGUGCGUAAUAGCUCACUGGUCAAGUGAUUCCGCGCCGACAAUGUAGCGGGGCUCAAGCGUACCGCCGAAGUCGUGUCAUUGGCAUAUAUAGCCCCAACGGGUGUGCUGAUGGGUAGGGGAGCGUCGUGUGCCGGGUGAAGCUGCCGUGGAAGCGAGUGGUGGACGGUUCACGAGUGAGAAUGCAGGCAUGAGUAGCGAUACACACGUGGGAAACGUGUGCGCCGAUUGACUAAGGGUUCCUGGGUCAAGCUGAUCUGCCCAGGGUAAGUCGGGACCUAAGGCGAGGCCGACAGGCGUAGUCGAUGGACAACCGGUUGAUAUUCCGGUACCCGCUUUGAAACGCCCAGUACUGAAUCCUCUGAUGCUAAGGCCGUGAAGCCGCCUCUGAUCUCUUCGGAGUGAUGGGGAGUGGUGGAGCCG
Molecule: ribosomal RNA, 1633 nt
Filed under: Streptomyces sp. GC420
Lineage: Bacteria; Bacillati; Actinomycetota; Actinomycetes; Kitasatosporales; Streptomycetaceae
Description: partial 23S ribosomal RNA
Rfam family: Bacterial large subunit ribosomal RNA
Source: RNAcentral